CGGGGCGGGAGGGCGCUGCCUGCUCUCCGUCUCCGCCCUCGGGGAGGGGGAGCGCGGUGCCGGGGCGAGCAGCGGGUGAUGGGGAAGAGGCGAGCGCAGUGCUGAGGUCCUCUGGGGCCGGAUGAGCCGAGGCUUGGCGCCGCGGCGGUGGCGGGGCUGGAGGAGGGGGCGAAGGAGGCUGUAGGGGCGGCCUCCGCUCCGGCUGCCCUGAGGGGAAGGAGCCCCCGACCAUGGAAAUCGAGAACAUCGUGGCCAACACGGUGCUGCUGAAAGCCCGGGAGGGCAAACGGAGUGGGCGUAGUAAAAAAUGGAAAGAAAUGCUGAAGUUGCCCCCUGUCAGUCACUGUGAGGGUAUUCGGUGCUCCAUCGAAAGAGACUAUAACCAGCUUUGUGACAAACAGCCAAUAGGAAGACUUCUCUUCAGACAGUUCUGUGAUUCUAGACCAGAUUUGAAAAGAUGCAUUGAAUUUCUGGAUGCAGUGGCAGAAUAUGAGGUAUCUUCAGAUGAAAAGCGCAUAGACUGUGGCCUCAAAGUUUUAGAGACGUACUUCACUAAUGGGUCUGCAGCACAUUUGCCAGAAAUACCUCAGGAAACAGUAAAUGAAUGUAAAGCAAGACUGGAAAAGAACCCUUCUAAGGAUCUUUUCAUGGACUGUACUAGAAUUGUCCAUGAAUACCUAAGCAAAACACCUUUUGAAGCUUACCAGGAGAGUGUGUAUUUUUCCCGUUUCUUACAGUGGAAAUGGCUGGAAAAGCAACCAGUAACCAAACACACAUUUAGGCAUUACCGAGUCCUAGGCAAAGGUGGAUUUGGAGAGGUGUGUGCCUGUCAAGUACGGGCAACAGGAAAAAUGUAUGCUUGCAAAAAGCUAGAAAAAAAGAGAAUAAAGAAGAGGAAAGGAGAAUCAAUGGCUCUAAAUGAAAAAAGGAUUCUAGAAAAAGUGAAUAGUAGGUUUGUAGUUAGUUUAUCCUAUACAUAUGAGACAAAAGAUGCCCUGUGUUUAGUGUUAACCAUAAUGAAUGGAGGGGAUCUGAAGUUUCACAUAUAUAACAUGGGAAAUCCUGGCUUUGAUGAAGAAAGGGCUAUUUUCUAUGCUGCAGAACUGUGCUGUGGUCUGGAGGAUUUGCAAAGGGAGAGAAUUGUUUACAGAGACUUGAAGCCUGAGAAUAUACUUCUUGAUGACUGUGGACACAUCAGGAUUUCAGAUCUUGGAUUAGCUGUGCAGAUUCCAGAAGGUGAAACUGUCCGAGGACGUGUUGGGACUGUUGGUUACAUGGCUCCAGAAGUGCUCAAAAAUGAGAAGUAUACAUUCAGCCCAGAUUGGUGGGGCCUUGGCUGUUUGAUUUAUGAGAUGAUUGAAGGACAGUCUCCGUUCAGGAAGCAUAAGGAAAGAGUUAAACGCGAUGAGAUUGACCGCAGAGUAAAGGAAGACCAGGAAACAUACUCAGACAAGUUUUCAGAGGAGGCAAAAUCCAUCUGCAGGAUGUUACUUGCUAAAAAUCCCGGAGAACGACUUGGUUGCACUGAAGGAGGAGCUGCUGUUGUAAAGCAGCAUCCUAUUUUCAAGAACAUCAACUUCAAGAGGCUGGAAGCUAACAUGUUAGAACCUCCAUUCUUGCCAGAUGUAAGUAGCCACGUGCUGUUUAUUGUAAAGAUGUCCUGGACAUUGAGCAGUUCUCCACAGUGAAAGGAGUGAACCUGGAUACCACAGAUGAUGACUUCUAUUCCAAAUUUGUGACGGGUUGUGUCUCAAUCCCUUGGCAAAAUGAGAUGAUUGAAACAGGAUGCUUUGAAGAUAUCAAUGCAUAUGAAACUGAUGGUACUGUGUCACCAGACAGAGAGAAGUCUCCUAAGCCAAAGAGAGGCUUCUUUCACAGACUUUUUAGUGGAGAGGUCUGCUUUAAGUCUGAUUGCAGUGAUGAUGAGCAGGAGUCCUCCAGACUUUAAAUCAUUUUAUGCUCAUCAGAAAGGAUGAGCAAGCAUUAAAUGUUUUAUAUCUCUGUAGCAAAUUGUAUUAUAUAUAUUUUUUAUCUGAGUUCAAGGAUUUUUGUACAUUUGUACUUCAUUUGUUUUAAGAUGUAUAUUUUCACUAAAGCUUAAUUGUACAAAAAGCAAUGAGUGCCAUUUGAGUGAGUGUGUUUCUGUAUGUAUUUGAUUUAUCUUGAUUAUUUUUUUCCCAGUGGAAUGAAUCUAGAAAUACUAAAAGGAUUUUAAAGCACAGAGAUAGUAUCUAUGGCAUCACUGUAACUUGACUUUGUAUGCUCCUGGUAAAAUUCUUCUUGAUAGCAGUUUUCUUAACGGUAAAAUUGAUGUACUGAUAAAUUUAAUAAUUCUGGUAUUAUCCAGCAGCAUGGCAGUGCUAUUACCUAAUGUAUCUCUCAAGCAACUGCUAAGAGAAAAAAAGGAAUUCAAUGCACUGUGGCCAGCUAUUAGGAAUUGCUCUUUAUUAUCAGGCUCUGUAGAAUCUCUUUCUGUAUUUCUGUAUAAAGAGAACUUUGAACAUUUAGCUUAAUCCUCAAGCUGAAGUAUCCCAUUCUUCUCUUUCCUACCCAUCUUACACAUCCUCUCCACAGAGUUUCUUGGCAUGAACCAUGCAAGUCGACCUAUGCCAAAAUUUUAUAACUAUAUUUUGAAAACUUUGUUGUCUUUACUGACAGGAUUUCUUUUUACCUGUGGAGACACAGUUUUAUUUUAUUUUCUGUAAAUGAAAUUGUAUUUAACUCCAUGUAGGAUGUUGUGGUUUUAUAAUGGGUUAAAAAACAAAGCAUGGGCUCUUCUUACUAAUGUCCUCUCUGCUUAUGUUGUAAUAUGCAAUGUUCUAGGGUUGACAGUGAUCACUGCCACUGGGGGAAGGGCAAGGUAGCAUUAAGUCUUGAAUUUAAUUAUGUAAGUAUUUUUUAUAGCCUUUUAAAACAGAAACAUUAAAAUAUGUUUUUAAUGAUUGCUUAAUACUAUGUACAACUGGUAUUGAAGUUCGUUAUGAUUACCUGAUGUCCAUUAGUAAAACUGACAAAAGCUGCUUGAAAGCUAGGCAAACUUCCAUUCUUCUGGACUCACUGUAGGUCAGACCCUAUAUUUUGUAAACUUCUAGUAAAACUUCAUCUGGGUAUGAGAGUCAAUUUGAAGAACACAUUUCAUUAAGAGACUCUUCUGUUUUCAAAAUUGAGUUAGAUACUUGAAAUAUAAUGGAGUUGGAGACAUGAUUUUAGUUUCAUAUUUUGUUCUGUAUUCUGAAGAUUUGUCUCACUCUGUACAUGCAUUCAGAUCUCUGGGGCACCAACUGGACCACACAUGUAUUGUACACACAGAGCAACUGAACAGCACCCCCACCUCAAAAAGGUCUCUCUUGUGAUCUGCAGACCCACUGGAAGAAACUUCAGCUGCUUCUGAGAAACUCACAAGAUAUAUUUGAUAUUCGAGCCCAUCAUCAGGUUUCAAUUCAUGGUAUUUGGUCUCUAAAGACAAAGCUUUAGUGGAUUAGAAUUUGAAAAAAUUGGAAAACCAGUGUGUUGCAGAGCCCUACUGGGGCUCAUCUGGUGUGUCUCUGAAAUUGUUCCUCUUGGCUACUGUGCCACAGAAAUGAGGAAUGAGCCUAUUUUCCUGUGUUUUCAGUGCAUUUUUCCUCCAGUCUAAAACAGCACACAAGACAGCAAAAUUACUCUUUUAGAGAGUACAAAGGGAGAAAUUGGCAGAGAGAGAGAGAGUUUGAAUGAAUUACUGGAAAAUGGUCUGAUGUAAUAGUGAAGGGAUGGGAGGCUUGACAGAAAUAUCUGAAGUAAGGGUGUUGGCUAGAGCCAUUAUGUGUGAGACAAUGAGCUGGCAGUCAGACCUGACCCUCUUUAUUUUGUACCACAGCAAUAGAAGAACUCUAAAAAGAGGGGAAUGGAAUAGGGGAAGCAACAGAAGGGUUUUAUAAAUACCUACAUGGUUGGAGAAGCCAUUGUUUCCCUGAUUAAGGGGUUUGAAUUUUUAAGAUCUUAGGCUUGCUGUUCUGAGACAAAGGUGACUGUUUUUAAUUUAAUGUCUCUGUAGAGUAACUUGAAAUUUGGGCAAGAAUACCACAGACACAGGGUGAAUAAUUUUUAUGAAGAAAAUUAGUUUUAACAGAUAAAAAAAAAUCUGAAAGUCUAUUUAUCAUGCAUUUCAAGUUUUCUUUCUGUACAGGAUGGAGAGGAAUCUUAACUUAAAAAAAUAAAAAUCACUUCUCUGUUUUGGAGUGUUGAGGCUUAACAUAUAUUUUCCAGGAAUCUGUGAAGAAAGAGGGCUAAAUGAAGAGAAAAGAGAAAUUGUUCCUAAGAAGUGGUUAUUUUCAUAUCUGCUUCUUUGGAAAAAGGAACUCCUUGUAAAAAAGUGAGAAUUUGUUUGUUUUUAUGAAGUUUUACUUAGUUUAAUUCCAAAAGUUUUUUCUUAAGUUCAGAAUAGUACUAUUGAAUUGUUUUGAGUGAGUACAUGUUUGCAGGAUUAUGACCUAAUUCCAUUGGAUUUGGGGUUUGUUUUUAUUUUUUGGCUAGUUGAUUGGUUCUUCCCCAAUAGGCUCAAGAUGGCAUUAUUGUUCUAUAAAUUUGUCCCUUUUGGCUAGAAAUACAAGCAUGUAGUAAUGACUGGAUCUUAUCUGAUGUGAAUCCCCAUGAAAAUUAAUAAAACCAAGGAACUGGAAGGAUCACCAAUCAGCAUAAGUGUCCUUACACAGUACAUGGAGGGGAAAUGUUAUGCUGUUUAAUCUAAGGUGACUACAUUGGUGAAAGGCCUUUACUGGAGAUAAGCUUGGAGGUGCAUCUUGAGAGCAGGGAAGGGGUAAGGAGAGGGGAGAACACCUGAAAACAAAUUAUCACAAUGUGAGAAAUUUAAUAUGAACUUAGCUCUUGAUUUUUUUUAGGACAUAAGUGGGACAAAGAAGGGGGGAAACAGCAGGUUGUGUUUACUGAUUAUGUAGCCUUUUACUUCCAUGAAACUGUUGGGGUGGGAUGGGGGAAGCCAAAAUAACUUCUUGUAAUUCAGUGUGACUUCACUCUCUAGACCCAUGUGUUAGAAGGCUUAAUUAGCAGUGAGACCAUCCAAUGUUCUACUAGUGCAAGAUUUGGAAAGACCUAUGGAAUUCCACGGAGUUAUUUGCAUGAGAUUAACCCUCCUUUCCUGUGGUGUGUGUUUCCAAGCAUUUGUGUAUGUAAACCUUCGUGUUUGCUUGUGAGUAUCUCAAACCUCUCUAUUUAGCUCAAAAUUCAGAAACUGUGAAACAAUGUACCAGUGUCUUAUUGGUUUACUUAAUGCUUUUCAAUGUUGUGACCAGAAGAAAAGAAUCUUCAUGCCUCAGGGUUGUUUUUUCUAUUAAGAAAGCUGUCAGCUUCUCCCUGCCCCCUGAGGUGUGUUCAUAACAGAGAUGGUGUUGUUUCUGGGUUAUAAAAACAACAGAACAGUCUCAGCUGAAUAAAGGAGCACUUAAUACUAAUAGUAAGUAGAAAAAAACCCCUGUGGUAUGUCUGUAACAAGAGUGUUAUUGACAAACCUUAGCCUUUAACAUCUCUUGUCUCUUUUUUUUUUUCCCAAAUCAUUCUUAAAACAGUAGUCCUAAAUGCUUUUGAGUAUGAAAGAGAAUUAUCUCCAAAUCAGAAUAAAAUUGUCUGGUUUAUAAAUCAGUGAUAAAAGCAAUUAAAACCAACUAACAAUCCAUUCUUAGAAUGCACUUCAAUUUUUUUUCAAACUACACUGAUGUAAGAAUUUCUUCAUUGUCAUUUGUAUGAACGGAGAAUACUUGUUUACAAGUUACUAAAAUAUGACAACAAAAGUAAUACUUUUCUAGGGUUUACACUUUAGCCUUAUAUAAAUUUAACAUUGGAGUUAUCAUCUUCAUUUUAGUAUAGGUUUUCAGAAAACACUUCUCUUUAGGAAGUGAAAUUCGAAUUAUUGGAAAGCACCUUUAAGCUGAAGUCAUAUUUACUUUGAUUUUAAUUACUCACUUGGCUUAUUUGGUGAUGAUGAUGUGUUUUCUGUUGAAUGAAACAUUCUUUUUUAUUUCAUAAUUGCAGUGUAACUUAAAUUUUGCACAUGACAUGUAGGUAACUUUUUUCCAUGAUUCAGAUGUGUCCAAAACACCAGAAUUCUUUCCAGGCAUAGGAAGCUGACUGUUAAAUGUGAUGUGUUAUUUCCAGCAUCUCCAAACCACUGACUGUUCUUCUGUGAGCUGUUUUCCUGGACAUUCUAGCAUUGUAAUUCCUGAAAUAAAAGCAAAACACUGCCACAUAUCUCAACCACA
This is an RNA transcript of Camarhynchus parvulus, 6251 nucleotides long. It is a transcript of the gene named G protein-coupled receptor kinase 4, with no coding region annotated. The record is from RefSeq and is a predicted model, not a curated record. The transcript has 16 exons. Lineage: Eukaryota; Metazoa; Chordata; Aves; Passeriformes; Thraupidae.